This 4454-nucleotide long non-coding RNA is filed under the name Sus scrofa (pig). RNAcentral describes it as "lncRNA (ENSSSCG00050036541.1)". The record is from RNAcentral. Lineage: Eukaryota; Metazoa; Chordata; Mammalia; Artiodactyla; Suidae.
UUUUUUUUUUUUUUUCAUGCUUCAGGCAGUGUAUCAAACCUAUUAUUGUUAUCAAACCACACUUCUUUCUACCAAACAUCCUGGCCCCUGAGCUAGAUUGUUCCCUGAGGUCAAGGACCACGAAUGAUACUUCACUGCAUGACUCUCAACUCAAUGACAGUCAUACAGUAAUGAUCAAGAAAUUCUUGGGAGUUCCCUGUGGUCUAGUAGUUAGGACUCAGGUGCUUUCACCAAUGUGACCUGGGUUCAGUCCUUGGUCUGGGAACUGAGAUCCUACAUCAAGCUACUGCAAGCUAUGGCCAACAAAUAAAGAAAAAAAAGAAAUUCUUACUAAUGGGCAGAAAGUGUGAUGGGGUUUUCAAAACCAUAUAAUUAAAACACAUUUUUAAAAAUAGUACAACAUAUUCAGAACAAUGAAAUGUAAUCUCUGAAAUCAUAUGCAUAACCAACAGAUACAGGGGUUAAUAGUCUAAAGAACUGGAUAGCAGGUUAGAUUUUGGACUUUGUGGUAGGCAGAAUAAUGGCUCCCCAGAGAUAUCUAAGCUUUAAUCUCAAUAAACUAUGAACACAUUACUUUACAUGGCAAAAGGGACUUUGAAGAUAUUAAUAAGGUUAAGGACCUUAAAUGGGGAGGGUAUACAGAAUUAGCCAACUGGGCCCAACGUAAUCCGAUGAGUCCUUACAAGCACAGAAACUUUCCUAGCUUCCCAGCUACAGUCAGAGAGAUGAAAUGGAAUGAGAAGAAAUUCAAAGUAUGAGAGUGAUACAAUUCUCUACUUCUACUGGCUUUAAAGAUAGAGGGGGCCAGGUGCCAUAGAAUAUGGAUGACCUCUGGAAGAUGGGAAUGGGUUUCAGCUGAUAGGCAGCAAGGAUGCAAAGAUCUCAGUCCUAAAACCAUAAGGACCUAAAUUCUGUCCAAAAAUAAAGGAGGGAACAGAUCCUCUUCUAGGGGCUUCCAAAAGAAACUGUCCUGCUGAAAUCUUGAUUUUAGUUUGGCGAGAUCUGGUGAGACUUACGUCAAACUUCUAACCUAAAGACAUGUAAAAUAAUACAUUUACGUUGUUGAAGCCACAAAGUUUGUGGUAAAUUGUUAUGGCAACAGUAGAAAAUGAAUGCUAAUUUGAAGACAAAUAAUGAAUCUAGAUAAUUCCUAGGUGGAAAGAGUGAGGCAAAAGAAGAAUCUUCCAGAGAGGUGGUGAAGGAAGAAAAGAGGGAAGAGGGAAACCAAAGACAUCAUAGAACCAAGGGCGAGAAGAACUCCAGGAAGGAAUGAUCCAGACCAACAACUGCAAGAGGUCAAAUGGUAUUGGACUGGUAGUCUUUGCCAAAGCCAAUAUUCAAACCUGUGAACCGACCCUUUGAAGAAUUAAACCAGAAGGUGGAAAUAAUAAAGCCUGUGCCAGGUGGACUGGCAUCCUACAAAUGAGUUGGUAAUUUACAAGAGUUGAUUUGACUCUGAUUUGAAUCAAGAGAGGAAAUAUCUUCAUAACACGUAAAGGCAUGAAAUGUGAUUUCUGCCUUCCUUCUGACAUUAGGUUUCAUGAAUAUGCACCCUCAUAGGUUAAAGCAGUUAUUUUAAAAACACUGAAGAUACUAUUUGCAGUCUAAAAAGGGUAGUGAUUUUCUUUGUUCACUGGGAUUUCUGUGGCAUUAACUGUGGAUGUCAAAGAAUUAAAAAGUUCUAUCGAUCACCCACUUCUCCUGUAUGCAUACAAAUUUUGAAUGACAAGAUACCUUUUGUUAUUAAAGUGAAGCUGCUUUAGGCCUACACAGAUGUACUCGUGGGACCUGUCUUACUCACCUCUGCAUCCUUAGCACCUAAUCAACGGUGGGAAUAUAAUAGGUCAGGAAGAUUUCUUUCUUGAUAGCAUUGGUUGAUGAAUGAGGUCUGUAAUAAACUGGUGAAGUCGUCAAAAUAUCCAGAACACAAUUUAUCGCAUGACUUUCAAAGACGCCCAUCACCAUGCAUAGUAUUCAUAAUAUCUGAAUUUAAUCUGGUUAAAGCUUGUACAAAAAAAAAAAACUUACAUUAGCAUCAAGAUAAUAUUCAAAGUACUACAUGUUCCCGCAUACCUCACAGAGUUUUGUUCCAGAAAAGAACUGUUCCCAGAAAGUCCCUUAUCCUGACAAGGCUGGUUUGGCACACACUUAUGAUGUGUGUCCUUGACUAUGUUCAAGUUCACAGAACACAGUACAUACUUUCCUGAAAUAGCAGAGCAUUGUCUUGCCCCACGCAUCCCUGGGAAUACUUGGGUGUUAUUUGAAAAUCACUUGGAGAUUCUCUAGACAGCUUUUUGCACUAUUUCCCAAAGUAGGUCUUCUGUUGUCUUUGUCCACAUUAUCCUUGGCCAGCUUCUUUCUUUAUAGCAUGCCCCAGCUAUAAUCUCCAGGGCUCUCCCACAGCCCACCCCAGCAAGAAGCUAAGCUUGUCAAUUUACUCCUAUGGAAUUUCUGAACUGCUGGGGUAUUUGGAGACUAAUCUCACCAAGAGGAAGAGAAAACUGAUUCAAAGGAAGUGAGGUGAGAUCUUCAGGGAAUAAGGCUGGUUAGCGGCAGAGCCAGGCUCCAGUCCUUGUUUUUUGACUCAAAGGUGAAUGAAUGUUCUUCCCACAAUAUACAAAACGGUGCCGACAUUUCUUAUAGGACCCAACCAAGUCAGAUGGGAUUUGUUUUCCUUGUCACCUUUGUGGAAUGACCCUUUUGGCUCUUUUUCAAAAUAUGAAGCUGAGGGAGUUCCCUUCAUGGCUCAGCAGUUAACAAACCCGACUAGGAUCCAUGAGGAUGUGGGUUUGUUUGAUCCCUGGCCUCCCUCAGUGGGUUAAGGAUCCAGUGUUACAGUGAACUAUGGUGUAGGUUGCAGAUGUGGCUUGGAUCUCAAGUUGCUGUGGCUGUGGUGUAGGCCAGUGACUGUAGCUCUGAUUCGACCCCUAGCCUGGAAAAUUCUAUAUGCUGCAGGUGUGGCCCUAAAAGCAAAAAAAAAAAAAAAUUAAGCUGAUUAAUACUAUCUAAUUAAUAUGUGCAUUCUGGAAAUAUUACCCUCUGGAAAUAUACCCAUGAGUUCUUCAAUUUUGGAAUUGUAAUAUUUUUUUGAAUUUAUAAAUUAAUUAUUUAUCUCUCCAACUCACUCACUGCUUUUCACCCAUACCAAAAACAUACCAUCAGCCAUUUCUUGGAGUUCCCAUUGUGGCCCAGUGGAAAAGCAUACAACUAGUAUCCAUGAAGAUGCAGGUUCAAUCUCUGGCCCCACUUAGUGGAUUAAGGAUCUGGCAUUGCCUGAGCUGUGGCAUAGGUCAGAGACAUAGCUUGGGUCUGGCAUUGCUGUGGCUGUGGUGUGUAAGCUGGCAGCUGUAGCUCUGAUUUGACCCUUAGCCUGUGAACUUCCAUAUGACUCGAAUAUGGCCCUAAAAAAAAUUAUUUUACUCGUUUAUCCAUUUAUUCAUGCAUUUAGUUUUUCAUUCAUUAUUUUAUUUAUUAGUUUAUACACACUUUUAUUCAUUUAUAUUCACUAGCAUUUAUCUAUCACUUUUGACAGUCUGUUCCUAAGCACUAAAAGUACAGAGAUGCUUGCUUGUUUCCUUGCAGUGAAAAGAGAAGGUCACCAAGAGGCUUGGUUUCAUUCCCUUUGUGUGAUCUGUUUUCUAGAAGUGAUAUGGGCAAGUAUAUAAGUCUAUACAAAUAGAAAAAGGGAAGGAGAUUUUCAAAUAGGAAAGCUUGAAAAGGAAUUCUACCCAAAAAAAAAUAGCUUUUGUUUCUUCACUGAAAGUAAUUUACAAAUAGUUUAAUUUAAUGACUGUCAGGCAUAUUCUGUUACUUCUUUGUAAUGAUAAGAGUUUCCUUGGAGACUGGCAAAAUUCAGACUGGCAAACAGAUUUUUAGACUGAUAUAAAGCCACUUUCUUCUAUUUUAAGCACAGCAUUUUGGUCCCUCCUUGUACUAGAUAACUACUUAAACAAAAGAAACGUUAGAUAGAUGAUGAAUAGAUAGAUAGAGACCUUAUUGUCUCAGGGAUUUCUGGCCAGAGAUCCAGGUAGAUGCCUUUCCCUUUUGGCAUGCUCCAAUUAAUCAAUUAAUUCUUUUUACGAUGUGGAGCAUGAAAGUUUCUUAUGAUGUCUGUGAAGGUCCACCUCUCAGAUCUCCCUUCAGAUGACCUUGCUAUGAGGAGCAUGGGGAGCGGACAGCCACCAGCUGCCACACUUGCAAACAAGCCACGGCCAUUUAUGUGGAGGCCACAUUCUCUGGGGGUCGCUCUCUAUUACUAACUAAGCACAGCAGGAGACUAGAGCUGAACAGUUCCUGCCCAAGGUAGGUUCUCUGAUGAGCAGUCUCUGCUCUGGACCUCAUCAGCCUGGCUGAGACUCUCGGAGCUACACGGCAACCUGAGACUUCUUCCUAACUGUCCUUUCUUCCCUCUUUCCUUUACAGACUCUAUGGUACAGACUCUAUGGUUGAGAGCC